CAUGCAAGUCGAACGAGAGAUGAGGAGCUUGCUCUUCAAAUCGAGUGGCGAACGGGUGAGUAACGCGUGAGGAACCUGCCUCAAAGAGGGGGACAACAGUUGGAAACGACUGCUAAUACCGCAUAAGCCCACGGCUCGGCAUCGAGCAGAGGGAAAAGGAGCAAUCCGCUUUGAGAUGGCCUCGCGUCCGAUUAGCUAGUUGGUGGGGUAACGGCCCACCAAGGCGACGAUCGGUAGCCGGACUGAGAGGUUGAACGGCCACAUUGGGACUGAGACACGGCCCAGACUCCUACGGGAGGCAGCAGUGGGGAAUAUUGCACAAUGGGGGAAACCCUGAUGCAGCGACGCCGCGUGGAGGAAGAAGGUCUUCGGAUUGUAAACUCCUGUUGUUGAGGAAGAUAAUGACGGUACUCAACAAGGAAGUGACGGCUAACUACGUGCCAGCAGCCGCGGUAAAACGUAGGUCACAAGCGUUGUCCGGAAUUACUGGGUGUAAAGGGAGCGCAGGCGGGAGAACAAGUUGGAAGUGAAAUCCAUGGGCUCAACCCAUGAACUGCUUUCAAAACUGUUUUUCUUGAGUAGUGCAGAGGUAGGCGGAAUUCCCGGUGUAGCGGUGGAAUGCGUAGAUAUCGGGAGGAACACCAGUGGCGAAGGCGGCCUACUGGGCACCAACUGACGCUGAGGCUCGAAAGUGUGGGUAGCAAACAGGAUUAGAUACCCUGGUAGUCCACACCGUAAACGAUGAUUACUAGGUGUUGGAGGAUUGACCCCUUCAGUGCCGCAGUUAACACAAUAAGUAAUCCACCUGGGGAGUACGACCGCAAGGUUGAAACUCAAAGGAAUUGACGGGGG
This 852-nucleotide ribosomal RNA is filed under the name uncultured bacterium. RNAcentral's name for it is "bacterial SSU rRNA". It matches the Rfam family "Bacterial small subunit ribosomal RNA", at positions 54 to 919 of the family's 1533-position model. The record is from RNAcentral.